This 73-nucleotide transfer RNA is filed under the name Fasciola gigantica. It matches the Rfam family "tRNA". From Rfam's summary of the family: Transfer RNA (tRNA) molecules are approximately 80 nucleotides in length. Their secondary structure includes four short double-helical elements and three loops (D, anti-codon, and T loops). Lineage: Eukaryota; Metazoa; Platyhelminthes; Trematoda; Plagiorchiida; Fasciolidae. The record is from Rfam by way of RNAcentral.
ACCGCGAUAGCUCAGCUGGAAGAGCAUCUGCCCGGUAUGCGGAGGGUCGCCGGUUCGACUCCGGCUCGCGGCG